This is a non-coding RNA of Clupea harengus (Atlantic herring), 1340 nucleotides long. Lineage: Eukaryota; Metazoa; Chordata; Actinopteri; Clupeiformes; Clupeidae. The record is from the annotation of a RefSeq genome assembly.
UUUCUCUCUCUCUGUUUUCUGCAGUCUCCCAGUUCUUCAACAACAUGGCAGCACCUCACAUCACCAGCUUCUCCAUACUUCUGUGGUUUAUGGGUAUUUCUUCUUGCAUUGAAACCCCUUUCCUUGGGGCAACACAUAUCUAUUUUCAUCUCAUUUUCAGAUCAACUUGACUACUCUGACCAUUGUAUCUGAACUCUUUAUAGAUUCUGCUUUGACAACCAGUGUGGACCAAACCCCUCCUGACAUGUUUAAGACUCAAGAGGAUUCAGCACAGUUUAAGUGCAGACACAACAUCUCGAGCUAUAAUGUCAUCCUGUGGUAUCAACAAUCACAGAACACCGGACUAACUUUGCUUGGAUAUGUCUAUAGGAUGAAUAAAAACAAAGAGAGCGCAUUUGAACAGAAAAUUGAACUUAGCGGUAGUUCUGGCACAAAUGAAGACAGCUUCAUCACCAUAAAAAGCCUGUCUUUAAAUGACAGUGCUCUGUAUUUUUGUGCCGCAAGUGAACACAGUGCCAUACAUCCUCUGCCUUCUUCACAAAAACUGAUUUCCAUCAGUCAUGACAGGUGAUCUCUUCCACCCUCACACCUGUUACAAUGCUGUUAAUGCUGUCGUUUCAGUGAUUAUAUGUUCACAUGCCUGUUUGCUAGGUCUUUUUUAUUUCCUUUAAACAUCUGCAAUAACGUAAGCAGCAUCUCACACACUACAAGAAAGUAAAUGAUGAGCAGGAAGAAGUUUUACUCUGCUGGUGAUUCAACAGCACCACUUCCUCUAUUUGGACGAGUCUCCUUGAUAUCAGUGACAUUCGUGUCUACAGCUCUCAUGUACCAACAUGAUCCGAGGCCUCUUCAUCCAGCUGAUUCUAAUACCACUCUGGGUUAAAGGACAAAGUUAUGAAGUUCAACAGAAUCUUCGUGAGCUGUUAAAGGCCCCAGGAGACAAUGUGCUAUUGAACUGCAAACAUAAAAUUACAGACUUCUAUGUGAUUUUGUGGUACAAGCAAACUGUUCAAAGUUCUACCCUUGAUCUCAUUGGAUUUGUGUCCUACACCUCACCAACUGUUGAAAAGCCGUAUACUAAACUCUUCAAAGUGACUGGGGAUGGUAGUAAAAACAGCACUCUUAGUUUUCUGAAACCGAUCCAAGUUGAAGACAGUGCUGUGUAUUACUGCGCUGCCAGUAAAGCACAAUGCUACAGGUCCCCUUGCUGCCUUACAAUAACCCCAGGAGUGUCUGACACCUGUGUUGAACCACUUCAACUGUCUCUGAAUGAAACUAAAACAUUGUCCCAAAGGGCAACAAUGGGCAGUUCUCCAAAUGACACUGUUGCAGUUCUGUGA